RNAcentral lists this ribosomal RNA (2250 nucleotides) under Triticum aestivum (bread wheat). RNAcentral describes it as "partial small subunit ribosomal RNA". Lineage: Eukaryota; Viridiplantae; Streptophyta; Magnoliopsida; Poales; Poaceae. The record is from RNAcentral.
AUGUCGUCGACGAAGCCGCCGGCCGACGCGACGGGAGGGAAGGCGGCGGCGCAGGGGGAGGGGGAGGGGGGGCGGUACCCGGUGGAGGAGGUGGCGCUGGUGGUGCCGGAGACGGACGACCCGGCGACGCCGGUGAUGACAUUCCGGGCCUGGACGCUGGGGCUGGCCUCCUGCGUGGUGCUCAUCUUCCUCAACACCUUCUUCACGUACCGCACGCAGCCGCUCACCAUCUCGGGCAUCCUGGCCCAGAUCCUCGUGCUCCCCGUCGGCCGCUUCAUGGCGUCCGUGCUGCCCGACCGCAAGGUCCGGCUCCUCGGCGGCCGCCUCGGGAGCUUCAACCUCAACCCGGGGCCCUUCAACAUCAAGGAGCACGUCAUCAUCACCAUCUUCGCCAACUGCGGCGUCUCCUACGGCGGCGGCGACGCCUACUCCAUCGGCGCCAUCACCGUCAUGAAGGCCUACUACAAGCAGUCGCUCAGCUUCCUCUGCGCCCUCCUCAUCGUCCUCUCCACGCAGAUUCUGGGCUAUGGCUGGGCUGGCAUGCUGAGGAGGUUCCUGGUUGACCCUGCCGAGAUGUGGUGGCCUUCUAAUCUCGCCCAGGUCUCCCUCUUCAGGGCGCUGCACGAGACGAAGGAGGGCGGGAAGCCGGCGAAGGGCCCGUCGCGGAUGCGCUUCUUCCUCAUCUUCUUCUUCGCGAGCUUCGCCUACUACGCGCUCCCCGGCUACCUGCUUCCCAUCCUGACCUUCUUCUCGUGGGCGUGCUGGGUGUGGCCCCGCAGCAUCACAGCGCAGCAGGUCGGGUCCGGCUACCACGGUCUGGGCGUCGGCGCCUUCACCCUCGACUGGGCGGGCAUCUCGGCGUACCACGGCAGCCCGCUGGUGGCGCCGUGGGCGUCCAUCGCCAACACGGCCGUCGGCUUCGUCAUGUUCAUCUACGUCAUCGUGCCGCUCUGCUACUGGCGCUUCAACACCUUCGACGCCCGCCGCUUCCCCAUCUUCUCCAACCAGCUCUUCACCUCCACGGGCCAGAAGUACGACACGACCAAGGUGCUCACCGCCGACUUCGACCUCAACGUGGCCGCCUACGACAGCUACGGCAAGCUCUACCUCAGCCCGCUCUUCGCCAUCUCCAUCGGCUCCGGGUUCCUCCGCUUCUCCGCCACCAUCGUGCACGUGCUGCUCUUCCACGGCGCCGACAUGUGGCGGCAGAGCCGGAGGGCCAUAGGCGCCGCGGCCAAGCUCGACGUGCACGCCAGGCUCAUGCAGAGGUACAAGCAGGUGCCGCAGUGGUGGUUCCUGGUGCUGCUGGCGGGGAGCAUCGCCGUGUCGCUGCUCAUGUGCUUCGUGUGGAAGGAGCAGGUGCAGCUGCCAUGGUGGGGGAUGCUCUUCGCCUUCGCGCUCGCGUUCGUGGUCACCCUCCCCAUCGGCGUCAUCCAGGCCACCACCAACCAGCAACCCGGGUACGACAUCAUAGCGCAGUUCAUGAUCGGCUACGCGCUACCCGGCAAGCCCAUCGCCAACCUGCUCUUCAAGAUCUACGGCCGGAUCAGCACCGUGCACGCGCUCUCCUUCCUCGCCGACCUCAAGCUCGGCCACUACAUGAAGAUCCCGCCACGCUGCAUGUACACCGCCCAGCUGGUGGGCACGGUGGUCGCCGGCGUGGUGAACCUGGCGGUGGCGUGGUGGAUGCUGGACAGCAUCGACAACAUCUGCGACGUGGAGGCGCUGCACCCGGACAGCCCCUGGACGUGCCCCAAGUACCGGGUCACCUUCGACGCGUCGGUGAUCUGGGGCCUCAUCGGGCCGGGGCGCCUCUUCGGCCAGCACGGGUUGUACCGGAACCUGGUGUGGCUGUUCGUGGUCGGCGCCGUGCUGCCGGUGCCGGUGUGGCUGCUGAGCCGGGCGUUCCCGGAGAAGAAGUGGAUCGCGCUCGUCAACGUGCCCGUCAUCUCCUACGGCUUCGCCGGGAUGCCGCCGGCCACGCCCACCAACAUCGCCAGCUGGCUCGUCACCGGCACCGUCUUCAACUUCUUCGUCUUCAGGUACCGCAAGGGGUGGUGGCAGAAGUACAACUACGUGCUAUCGGCGGCGCUCGACGCCGGCACCGCCUUCAUGGGGGUGCUCAUCUUCUUCGCGCUCCAGAACGCGCACCACGACCUCAAGUGGUGGGGCACCGAGGUCGACCACUGCCCGCUCGCCACCUGCCCCACCGCGCCCGGCAUCGUCGUCAAGGGCUGCCCGGUCUUCUGA